CCUACGGGAGGCAGCAGUGAGGAAUAUUGGUCAAUGGGCGGGAGCCUGAACCAGCCAAGUCGCGUGAGGGAAGACGGUCCUAUGGAUUGUAAACCUCUUUAGGCGGGGAGCAAUGCCGGGCACGCGUGCCCGGAGGGAGAGUACCCGCAGAAUAAGCAUCGGCUAACUCCGUGCCAGCAGCCGCGGUAAUCGGGAGGAUGCGAGCGUGAUCCGGAUUUAUUGGGUUAAAGGGGUGCGCAGGCGGUUUGUUAAGUCGGCGGGAAAAGCCCGGGGCUCAACCCCGGCCCGCCGUUGAAACUGGCAGUCUCGAGUUGGAGAGAGGUAUGCGGAAUGCGCGGUGUAGCGGUGAAAUGCAUAGAUAUCGCGCAGAACUCCGAUUGCGAAGGCAGCAUGCCGGCUCCACACUGACGCUGAGGCACGAAAGCGUGGGUAUCGAACAGGAUUAGAUACCCCGGUAGUC
RNAcentral lists this ribosomal RNA (460 nucleotides) under uncultured bacterium. RNAcentral's name for it is "partial 16S ribosomal RNA". It matches the Rfam family "Bacterial small subunit ribosomal RNA", at positions 338 to 795 of the family's 1533-position model. The record is from RNAcentral.